ACAAUGGGCGCAAGCCUGAUCCAGCAAUGCCGCGUGCAGGAUGAAGGCCUUCGGGUUGUAAACUGCUUUUGUACGGAACGAAAAGCCCUGGGUUAAUACCCUGGGGUCAUGACGGUACCGUAAGAAUAAGCACCGGCUAACUACGUGCCAGCAGCCGCGGUAAUACGUAGGGUGCNAGCGUUAAUCGGAAUUACUGGGCGUAAAGCGUGCGCAGGCGGUUUUGUAAGACAGAGGUGAAAUCCCCGGGCUCAACCUGGGAACUGCCUUUGUGACUGCAAGGCUAGAGUACGGCAGAGGGGGAUGGAAUUCCGCGUGUAGCAGUGAAAUGCGUAGAUAUGCGGAGGAACACCGAUGGCGAAGGCAAUCCCCUGGGCCUGUACUGACGCUCAUGCACGAAAGCGUGGGGAGCAAACAGGAUUAGAUACCCUGGUAGUCCACGCCCUAAACGAUGUCAACUGGUUGUUGGGUACUUAACUGACUCAGUAACGAAGCUAACGCGUGUAA
RNAcentral lists this ribosomal RNA (504 nucleotides) under uncultured bacterium. Its description in RNAcentral is "bacterial SSU rRNA". It matches the Rfam family "Bacterial small subunit ribosomal RNA", at positions 368 to 863 of the family's 1533-position model. The record is from RNAcentral.